RNAcentral lists this ribosomal RNA (231 nucleotides) under uncultured bacterium. RNAcentral's name for it is "partial 16S ribosomal RNA". It matches the Rfam family "Bacterial small subunit ribosomal RNA", at positions 118 to 347 of the family's 1533-position model. The record is from RNAcentral.
UGGGUGACCUGCCCUCAGCUCUGGGAUAAGCCUGGGAAACUGGGUCUAAUACUGGAUAUUCACUUCUCAUCGCAUGGUGGGUGGUGGUAAAGUUUUUCGGCUGGGGAUGGGCUCGCGGCCUAUCAGCUUGUUGGUGGGGUGAUGGCCUACCAAGGCGACGACGGGUAGCCGGCCUGAGAGGGCGACCGGCCACACUGGGACUGAGACACGGCCCAGACCUCCGUACGGGAG